RNAcentral lists this ribosomal RNA (878 nucleotides) under Curvularia patereae. RNAcentral's name for it is "eukaryotic LSU rRNA". It matches the Rfam family "Eukaryotic large subunit ribosomal RNA", at positions 64 to 960 of the family's 3401-position model. The record is from RNAcentral. Lineage: Eukaryota; Fungi; Ascomycota; Dothideomycetes; Pleosporales; Pleosporaceae.
ACCAACAGGGAUUGCCCUAGUAACGGCGAGUGAAGCGGCAACAGCUCAAAUUUGAAAUCUGGCUCUUUCAGAGUCCGAGUUGUAAUUUGCAGAGGGCGCUUUGGCUUUGGCAGCGGUCCAAGUUCCUUGGAACAGGACGUCACAGAGGGUGAGAAUCCCGUACGUGGUCGCUAGCUAUUGCCGUGUAAAGCCCCUUCGACGAGUCGAGUUGUUUGGGAAUGCAGCUCUAAAUGGGAGGUAAAUUUCUUCUAAAGCUAAAUAUUGGCCAGAGACCGAUAGCGCACAAGUAGAGUGAUCGAAAGAUGAAAAGCACUUUGGAAAGAGAGUCAAACAGCACGUGAAAUUGUUGAAAGGGAAGCGCUUGCAGCCAGACUUGCUUGCAGUUGCUCAUCCGGGCUUUUGCCCGGUGCACUCUUCUGUAGGCAGGCCAGCAUCAGUUUGGGCGGUGGGAUAAAGGUCUCUGUCACGUUCCUUCCUUCGGGUUGGCCAUAUAGGGGAGACGUCAUACCACCAGCCUGGACUGAGGUCCGCGCAUCUGCUAGGAUGCUGGCGUAAUGGCUGUAAGCGGCCCGUCUUGAAACACGGACCAAGGAGUCUAACAUCUAUGCGAGUGUUUGGGUGUCAAGCCCGAGCGCGUAAUGAAAGUGAACGGAGGUGGGAACCCGCAAGGGUGCACCAUCGACCGAUCCUGAAGUUUACGGAAGGAUUUGAGUAAGAGCAUGGCUGUUGGGACCCGAAAGAUGGUGAACUAUGCUUGAAUAGGGUGAAGCCAGAGGAAACUCUGGUGGAGGCUCGCAGCGGUUCUGACGUGCAAAUCGAUCGUCAAAUUUGGGCAUAGGGGCGAAAGACUAAUCGAACUAUCUAGUAGCUGGUUCCUG